AAGACUAUACUUUCAGGGAUCAUUUCUAUAGUUUGUGACUAAAGAGAUCUGAUUUUUAAAAGAUGCUGAGUAGCUUCAUCUCCCACUGACUUCAACAUGAGCAGUGGAUGCUGAUGGCUUCUGAAAAUCAAGCCAUGAGUUCCUAGUCAUUUUUGAUUAGGUAAAUGAUGAAAGCUCAGAGUGGG
Molecule: small nucleolar RNA, 185 nt
Filed under: Gopherus evgoodei (Goodes thornscrub tortoise)
Lineage: Eukaryota; Metazoa; Chordata; Testudines; Testudinidae
Description: Small nucleolar RNA U3 (ENSGEVG00005013672.1)
Rfam family: Small nucleolar RNA U3
About the family: Small nucleolar RNAs (snoRNAs) are involved in the processing and modification of rRNA in the nucleolus. There are two main classes of snoRNAs: the box C/D class, and the box H/ACA class.
Source: Rfam by way of RNAcentral